RNAcentral lists this ribosomal RNA (44 nucleotides) under Oxytropis splendens. Its description in RNAcentral is "partial 26S ribosomal RNA". RNAcentral also lists the same sequence under 1 other name. Lineage: Eukaryota; Viridiplantae; Streptophyta; Magnoliopsida; Fabales; Fabaceae. The record is from RNAcentral.
GCUGAGUUUAAGCAUAUCAAUAAGCGGAGGAAAAGAAACUAACA